UGGGGUGUAGCCCAGUGGUAGAGCACUUGCCUAGCAUACAUGAGGUCCUAGGUUCUAUACCCAGCAUUGCAA
This 72-nucleotide transfer RNA is filed under the name Marmota marmota marmota (Alpine marmot). It matches the Rfam family "tRNA". From Rfam's summary of the family: Transfer RNA (tRNA) molecules are approximately 80 nucleotides in length. Their secondary structure includes four short double-helical elements and three loops (D, anti-codon, and T loops). Lineage: Eukaryota; Metazoa; Chordata; Mammalia; Rodentia; Sciuridae. RNAcentral also lists the same sequence under 3 other names. The record is from Rfam by way of RNAcentral.